GAAUUCGCCCUUAGAGUUUGAUCCUGGCUCAGGACGAACGCUGGCGGCACGCUUAACACAUGCAAGUCGAACGAGAGAAGAGAAGCUUGCUUUUCUGAUCUAGUGGCGGACGGGUGAGUAACACGUGAGCAAUCUGCCUUUCAGAGGGGGAUACCGAUUGGAAACGAUCGUUAAUACCGCAUAAUAUAAUUGAACCGCAUGAUUUGAUUAUCAAAGAUUUAUCGCUGAAAGAUGAGCUCGCGUCUGAUUAGCUAGUUGGUAAGGUAACGGCUUACCAAGGCGACGAUCAGUAGCCGGACUGAGAGGUUGAUCGGCCACAUUGGGACUGAGACACGGCCCAGACUCCUACGGGAGGCAGCAGUGGGGAAUAUUGCACAAUGGAGGAAACUCUGAUGCAGCGAUGCCGCGUGAGGGAAGAAGGUUUUAGGAUUGUAAACCUCUGUCUUCAGGGACGAAAAAAGACGGUACCUGAGGAGGAAGCUCCGGCUAACUACGUGCCAGCAGCCGCGGUAAUACGUAGGGAGCGAGCGUUGUCCGGAAUUACUGGGUGUAAAGGGAGCGUAGGCGGGAUCGCAAGUCAGAUGUGAAAACUAUGGGCUUAACCCAUAAACUGCAUUUGAAACUGUGGUUCUUGAGUGAAGUAGAGGUAAGCGGAAUUCCUAGUGUAGUGGUGAAAUGCGUAGAUAUUAGGAGGAACAUCAGUGGCGAAGGCGGCUUACUGGGCUUUAACUGACGCUGAGGCUCGAAAGCGUGGGGAGCAAACAGGAUUAGAUACCCUGGUAGUCCACGCCGUAA
RNAcentral lists this ribosomal RNA (795 nucleotides) under uncultured bacterium. Its description in RNAcentral is "bacterial SSU rRNA". It matches the Rfam family "Bacterial small subunit ribosomal RNA", at positions 1 to 805 of the family's 1533-position model. The record is from RNAcentral.